This 4120-nucleotide unclassified non-coding RNA is filed under the name Leguminivora glycinivorella. Its description in RNAcentral is "neurabin-1, transcript variant X5". The record is from RNAcentral. Lineage: Eukaryota; Metazoa; Arthropoda; Insecta; Lepidoptera; Tortricidae.
CUGAGCAAGAGGGAGACACGAAACUGGAGAGAGUCAGAGAGAUGUGUGAAAGAAAAUGUAGUGGCUGCUCGUAGUUGCGGGGAUGUAGUUUUGAUAAAAAUAUAGCGUUAUUGACAUAAUUAUCAAUACAUAAGAAGUGAAUUUAUAGUGUCUAGCAUUUCACCAAUAUAUUUACAGCAAGUGUCCCUCUUUAUAUUAAUAUUUUGGUUGAUUUUCUAAUACGCUUGGCCCGGGUUAUUGACGUUUCAAUAGAGGUAUCUACUUGGAAAAUUAAGCUUCCGAAUGCUGUUUGUGUACAAUAUAUGUGGGCGUGUGAGAAGUCAAUAAGAAAAUCGGAUACCGAAGAAUUAUACAUUAAGUUGUGAUUGAUUUCAGUUCAUUAAUAUAAAGUGAAUUUAGUGUUUCUGAUGUGGCAAACCGGAUUACCUCACGGCGGUGAAAAUGUGACGCUGUUAUAAUUUAAGAUGGGCGAACGCGUGCGGCGAGCGGGCGGCGCGCCGGCGUCGGGUGACACGGCGCUUGCAUCCAACGAGCACCCUGUUGAUCGAUUGGAUUAAAACGGGCGUAUCCGGCUAGCAUGGAGGACUGCAGGAAGAGACACCAGGCAGGCACUAAAGUUUCGAAAAUUGCGCACAUCUUUCAAGGUAUGCCGUCGAGGGACGAGGAAGAUAUGCGCGGCGCCGAGAUGACGGUUGUCCGGACCGAGAGCCACCUGUCGCGGUUCAACACCGCGCGAGCUCUUUUUGAAAAACUUGGCGAAGAGAACCGCGGCUUCCGUAUCGAGAAGUCUCCGUCGGCUGCAGCCAGUUUUGCCGGCACGCGCAGCGGAGCGCCAUCAGUGCCCUCGCGCUCGCGCUCUAGCUCCGCGGGCUCCGUCAGCCCGCCGCGGCGCACCAUCACGCCUUCGCCCGGCGCGCCUCCUGCCCUCAACGGCGACCGCCUCGCCAACGGUUCCUCGCAGCCCGUGCCUCCGCCGAAACCGGCCAAGCCCAGCGUUUUGCCAAAACCAGAGAAACCUGACAGGCGCUUCAAUAAGGAACUUAUAGAGAAACAAAGAAACUGGACUUCUCAUUUUAGCAAACCGCGUCCGUCGUCGCGGUACGAAACACAUGAACCUAGUGCGCGAGUGGACUCUAAAUAUCCUAGUGGUGUACCGGAAACAAAGUCACCGGAAGUGGCGGAAAGAAGUGUUAUUCCCUCUCGUGUAUACUCGCCCCCGCUAUCGCCAUGCGCCGGGGACUCUCAAGUGGAGCGUCCCACGACUCUCCCUUCUAGUUUAGUUCAUAGAGGUGCGUCAGGUGUGAAAUCUCCUAGUCCUGUGAAAACGAUUGCGCCCGUGUCGCCAUCUACUAGAUCCAAUAAUAUAACGUCUCCCACCUUUAAAUCAGAUUUAAGAAGUGAUAAUUUAAGUUCUUCCUCUAAAGAAAGUGUUGACGCCGGUUCUCAGCAAAUAGGUUCAGCUGAAAUUGUUUAUCCUAAAACUCGGUCAACGCGAACUUCAGUUUCUGCCAGUGAUGAGGCUAUCGCGGAGAAGGAUUCCGCAUCAGACAGAAGUCCUAGUUUACAAUCAUCCGAUUCAUCAUCGAGGUCCGCCGAGAGAUCGUCCCACUCGCCUUCGAAAUCGGCAGAUAGAUCAUCCCAUUCACCCGUGUCUCCGUCUGCAAGCCCUGCGGCGGCUGCCCCGGCUUAUUCUCCUAGGUAUCCUAAAUCGCCCCCUUCACCACCCAUUCGAUCUCCGAAAUCACCCCCUCCAGUGCCACACGAAAAUGCUAAAAUCACAGCGAGUGACCUAAUAGAAAACCGAGUUUCCGAAGAGACAGAAGAAUUAAGGCAGGAAGAUAGAACUGACGGAGAAGUUCCUGAUAUAUUAUCACGGGCUCCGCCUUUGCCGAGCCCUAGAUUACCGGUUUCGCCUCCACCUCAAGAAGACGAUGAAAAGUUAAAGUACGAAAGAGAUUCGACCGCUCCGCAAAGUCCGGAACCUUACGAUAGUGUAGUAGAUUCACCAAAGUUACUUGAUAAAAGCUUGGACGAUGAUGGUUACGAGCACAUAGAGUUCGUCGAGGAGCGGGACGAGAAGAGCAGGCGGUCGUCGACGCCGGAGUCGCCGGCGGGCGCGGCGCCCGCGGCCGCGCCGCGCUCCCCGCUGGCGUCGCCGCUCGCCUCGCCGGUGCAGCGGGACGACUCCUCGCCCACUGUCUUGUCUUCACCCGUACCCCCGGUCGGAGAUCGCAAGUCAUCGGAGGCGGAGGAAGGCGUGCGGCGCGGCGGCUCGCGCGCGUCCAGCGUGUCGGACGAGGGCGGCUUCAACGAGCCCUCGCCCGAGGUGGUGGCGCGCCUGCGCCCCGCCGACUACCGCGAGCCGCCCGCGCCCGCGCCCGCGCCGCUCACGCGCGACCACCGCGACGCCGAGCGCGCGCGCUCCGACCCCGACACGCUGUCCGUGUUGCAGCAGGACUCGGGAGUAGUAGUGAGUGAAGCUAGUCAAGGCUCCAUAGAGGUGCUCGAUAAAUCGACCACCAGCCAAUGGAGCGUAUCCGAAGCGGAGCCGUCGGGUGACCGAGUGGCCGAGACGGGCGCGGAGGCGGACGCCCGCUGGGACGACCCGGACGCGGGCAAGCAGCCCGACAGCAUGACACCCGAUGAGGCUGAGAUCUUGCUUAGCUCUAGUAUUCUGGAGAAAAAACUUAGGCAAGAAGCCCUGCUGUCGGACGAGCAGGCUCAGGAGAUUGUGGCGAUGCUGUCGCCGCACCCGCCGCAGGACAACGGCGUCUCGCUCAACGACAGCUACCAGUCCGUGCUCUCGUACGAGAGCAUGCAGUCAGUGGACGAGAGCUACGAAUUCGUGUCACUCGAAGGCGAGGCAGCCUUAGCCGGUGGCGAUCGCAAGACCUCCCCACCGGAACCUACUGUGUUCGACCAUUACCCUCCUCAAUCUCUCCGGGAACUAGGCGAGGAAAACGGCAUACACUACUUCGAAGACGGACACUUUUAUACCGAGGUGGCUGGUCUUCCGCCUAUCGAAGAAGAUGAGGACGAUGAAUAUUACACACCGCCUGUAUUCGUUAAGAUGAAUAGAAAAGUUAAAUUCAGUACGAACCCAAUGCAAGUGUUCUCCACGCACUCUGUCCGCGAGUACGACCGCCGCAACGAGGACGUGGACCCGGUAGCCGCGUCCGCAGAGUAUGAACUCGAGAAGCGGGUUGAGAAGAUGCACGUGUUCCCGGUCGACCUGCUGAAGGGCGCUGAUGGGCUGGGCCUCUCAAUCAUUGGAAUGGGUGUCGGCGCCGAUGCGGGCUUAGAAAAAUUGGGCAUAUUCGUUAAAACUAUCACUGAGAGCGGAGCCGCCGCGCGCGACGGACGCAUACAGGUCAACGACCAGAUCAUCGAGGUCGACGGCAAGAGUCUGGUAGGUGUGACACAAGCCUACGCCGCGUCAGUGCUACGGAAUACGUCCGGACCAGUGAAGUUCCUCAUCGGCCGCGAGAAGGACCCUGAAAACAGCGAAGUGGCCCAUCUCAUCCGGCAAUCUUUGGCAGCCGAUAAAGAGAGAGAGGACAGGUGGUCGGUAUGGAGGCGGGCGGCGCACCGGCGGCAGAAGUGGUGUCGCGCGUGCGCGAGUGGUGCGCGGCGCGGGCGCCCGACGACGCGCUGCGGGACGACCUCGCGCUCGCCGCCGACACCGCGCAGCGCGCCCAACGCAAAUACGAUAAGGCCCGUCGAGCGUUGCGAGAAUGGCGCCGCACACGCGCCAUGGUUCGCGCGCGCGAAGAAUGGUGGAGCAGCAACGCGCGCGAUGCGCACCGCGAAUACUCAUGCGCGCUGUCCGCGCUGCACGAGCGCGUGGCGCGGCUCGAGGUGCUGCUGCUGGAAACGCAGAAGAAAGCCGGUCUACCGGUGAUGUUGCCGCACGAACCCUCCGCUCGCCGCGAGACGCCGCCGCUACCACGCCGUCCCGACCCAGACCCUCUGCUCAUCAACGAUCCCUGGAGCUCCGAUAGCGACCUGUCCGAUUUGUCACCCAUAGAAGACGAGUACGCCAAAGUAGACAAGUCUGCGCGACGGGAGCGCGAGGCGCGCGAGCGGGAAGCGCCGGACAUCGGUGACGUCACCGUGACAG